This 900-nucleotide transfer RNA is filed under the name Bos indicus x Bos taurus (hybrid cattle). Its description in RNAcentral is "lncRNA (ENSBIXG00005010456.1)". The stretch from base 766 to 838 matches the Rfam family "tRNA". Lineage: Eukaryota; Metazoa; Chordata; Mammalia; Artiodactyla; Bovidae. The record is from RNAcentral.
AUUUCUUUAAGCUUCAAAUCUUUUCACCCUGGCCUCAGGCUCUUGCACAGUUUGCUAAAGAAAUUCUGUCAAUUCACCUCAUUUUACCUGCUCAUGACCUGUGACUGGCUGACUCAAGUUUUUGUGCUUGGGACAAAAGGACAGUGGAAAGAACAUGGGGACUUUGCUCCAAGACCCACAGUUCCCCUCUGUUUCUGAGCACUGCACUUCAUUGUCAUCCUCCAUUCCACUGGGCGCCCCAGGCAGGACGGUGGCCUUGUCCCCACGGGGUUCGCCAUGCCCAGCGUGCCAUGGACUCCACACUAAUCACUCUCACAGCUGCUUGGCACUGCCUCUUUCAUGACGGCCUUUGAAACCCAGGUGCCUGGAAAGGCAGAAAGAAUUCUGUCUGAAAACAUCUUUCAUCUGCCUAUGUUUGCUGUGGUCAUCGCACAGCUAGAAGCAAUGCUCAAGCCUUUGGAAACUAAAACGUAGCUUCCUGAAAGGAUGACUUGAUCAAGUUACACAGAGGUUGGAAGUGAGAGGCCUGGAUUGAAAUUCCAGCUCUGUCACCAGGGGCAAUUUUCAUUAUUCAUUCUGCAUAAAGACCAAAAUGCAAGGUACAAAAUCAUCUAAAUAGUUAUCCUCAAAUAAUUGGAUAACAAUCAAACAUUUUUUUUAAGUAUAAUUUAAGAAUCAAAGGAUUCUUCAAUAGGAUAAAGCAUUCCUAUUUUGAAUCAAAAAAUCAGCACUGAUAAAGUAAGUUCAAAAUUAGGAACAGGGACUUCCCUGGCAGUCUAGUGGUUAAGAUUUUGUGUUUCCAAUGCAGGAGGUUCAGAUUCAAUCCCUGAUCAGGGAACUAAAAGCCUGCAUACUUCGAGGUGAAGCCAAAAAAUAAAUAAAAAAUAAAGGUAAAAAACA